GGACAGUCAUCGCCGAGUCCCCGUCAGGCGCGAGCCCGGGGAGCCGGGGACCCAUGCAGUCCCUGGGGUGAAUCGGAUGCCUGAGCCCGGAUGGGGCCGGGGCGUCCGUAGGAGACCUUCCUGCUCCGAACCCGUCAGCUAACCCGGUAGGCGAGAAGGAAGGAAAG
This 167-nucleotide small RNA is filed under the name Streptomyces atratus. Its description in RNAcentral is "c-di-AMP sequence". It matches the Rfam family "c-di-AMP riboswitch aptamer (ydaO/yuaA leader)". Rfam says of the family: This family represents a conserved RNA structure found upstream of the ydaO and yuaA genes in Bacillus subtilis and related genes in other bacteria. The record is from RNAcentral. Lineage: Bacteria; Bacillati; Actinomycetota; Actinomycetes; Kitasatosporales; Streptomycetaceae.